This 119-nucleotide ribosomal RNA is filed under the name Pteropus alecto (black flying fox). The record is from RNAcentral. Lineage: Eukaryota; Metazoa; Chordata; Mammalia; Chiroptera; Pteropodidae.
UGCUACAGCCAUGCCACCCUGAACAAGCCUGAUCCCAUCUGAUCUUGGAAGCUAAGCAGGGUCGGACCUGUUUAGAACUUGGAUGGGAGACCAACUAGGAAUACCAAGUGCUGUAGGCA